ACCUAUGGCCUCGGCCCAUCGCCUCCUCUUCCCAUUAUGGUGUCGCCCUGCCACAUCCUCUCCCCAUCAUGGGUUCGCCUCACCGCCAACUCUUUCGCCAUCGUGUCUUAGCGCAGAUCUCGGUGCGAGCUGUUGGACACGAUGAGGGAGUGGGCAUCUUAGAGCAAACCAGAUCCUCUGCGUCUAUGCGAGCACCUCAGGCUUAGGCGGCGCGAGAUGGAGCGGAUUCGCGCCCUCGUCAAGGGACAUGGAGCUCGGGACGCUGCGCUCCCUUCUGCUUCUUCUUCUCGGAAUGUCGUGCCGCCAUGGAAGGUCUCCCUUUUCCUCCCUCCCCCUCUUCCCCUUUCUCGUUUCGAUUUGGUACGGUGCUUCCAUCCCUGAUGUGGUUCCUCGCGCCUCUCUUUCGAUAUGUAGUUGAGAUGGUAGAUCUAGCAUCCAUACUCGCUUUACAUACAACAUAACACACGAGAUUUUUUGAUAUCAGCUAGCUCUAAUUUGUCAGUAUCAGCUAGCUCUAAUUUUUCAGUAUCAAUGAUGCUUGGGUAUAUUCAUUUGUGGAUUUAGAUUCUGGGUGGCUUAAUUUGUCACUAUCAGCUAGCUCUAAUUGAUGUUGAGUUGUUGCUUUUUGUGGCAGUUGCAUGAUUUGAGUGGUAUUCUCACGUUGUAAUGUUGCAUUAUUACUGACAAUUAGGGUCUGUUCGGUUUCCCUCCCAGAGCGAACGGAGUUGUAGUAGAAAAUGUUGGAGCGAUCAAACAGGUGCUCCACAGAUCCUUGGAUUUUAAGGAGCUUGUGGAUUGCCGAACAGGGCCUUGGUAACCGAGAGUUCCAGGGUCACAACCAAGUUAGUAUCUGCACAUUUUGUAUCAGAAAUGCAUGUGGCUCCAUCAAUUUACAUCUGAACUAUUUUAUGCUUAUGCCAUUCUAUGCACAACAGACAUGCCUUCAGCACAUCGCCA
RNAcentral lists this long non-coding RNA (957 nucleotides) under Hordeum vulgare. RNAcentral describes it as "long non-coding RNA (HVUL_LNC019544)". The record is from RNAcentral. Lineage: Eukaryota; Viridiplantae; Streptophyta; Magnoliopsida; Poales; Poaceae.